AGUGAACGCUGGCGGUAGGCCUAACACAUGCAAGUCGAACGGCAGCACAGUAAGAGCUUGCUCUUACGGGUGGCGAGUGGCGGACGGGUGAGGAAUACAUCGGAAUCUACUUUUUCGUGGGGGAUAACGUAGGGAAACUUACGCUAAUACCGCAUACGACCUACGGGUGAAAGCAGGGGAUCUUCGGACCUUGCGCGAAUGAAUGAGCCGAUGUCGGAUUAGCUAGUUGGCGGGGUAAAGGCCCACCAAGGCGACGAUCCGUAGCUGGUCUGAGAGGAUGAUCAGCCACACUGGAACUGAGACACGGUCCAGACUCCUACGGGAGGCAGCAGUGGGGAAUAUUGGACAAUGGGCGCAAGCCUGCUCCAGCCAUACCGCGUGGGUGAAGAAGGCCUUCGGGUUGUAAAGCCCUUUUGUUGGGAAAGAAAAGCAGCAGGUUAAUACCCCGCUGUCCUGACGGUACCCAAAGAAUAAGCACCGGCUAACUUCGUG
Molecule: ribosomal RNA, 492 nt
Filed under: uncultured bacterium
Lineage: Bacteria
Description: partial 16S ribosomal RNA
Rfam family: Bacterial small subunit ribosomal RNA
Source: RNAcentral